RNAcentral lists this ribosomal RNA (119 nucleotides) under Olea europaea subsp. europaea. Lineage: Eukaryota; Viridiplantae; Streptophyta; Magnoliopsida; Lamiales; Oleaceae. The record is from RNAcentral.
UGGUGCGACCAUACCAGCACUAACGCACCGGAUCCCAUCAGAACUCCGAAGUUAAGCGUGAUCGGGCGAGAGUAGCACUAGGAUGGGUGACCCCCUGGGAAGUCCUCGUGUAACACCCC